AUACAGAGGGUGCAAGCGUUAAUCGGAAUUACUGGGCGUAAAGCGCACGUAGGUGGUUCAUUAAGUCAGAUGUGAAAGCCCCGGGCUCAACCUGGGAACUGCAUUUGAAACUGGUGAGCUAGAGUAUGGUAGAGGUAAGUGGAAUUCCAGGUGUAGCGGUGAAAUGCGUAGAUAUCUGGAGGAACAUCAGUGGCGAAGGCGACUUACUGGACCAAUACUGACACUGAGGUGCGAAGGCGUGGGGAGCAAACAGGAUUAGAAACCCCAGUAGUCC
This 274-nucleotide ribosomal RNA is filed under the name uncultured bacterium. RNAcentral describes it as "partial 16S ribosomal RNA". It matches the Rfam family "Bacterial small subunit ribosomal RNA", at positions 523 to 796 of the family's 1533-position model. The record is from RNAcentral.